AGUAGGGAAUACUUCCACAAUGGGCGAAAGCCUGAUGGAGCAACGCCGCGUGUGUGAUGAAGGGUUUCGGCUCGUAAAACACUGUUGUAAGAGAAGAAUGACAUUGAGAGUAACUGUUCAAUGUGUGACGGUAUCUUACCAGAAAGGAACGGCUAAAUACGNGCCAC
RNAcentral lists this ribosomal RNA (167 nucleotides) under uncultured bacterium. RNAcentral describes it as "partial 16S rRNA". It matches the Rfam family "Bacterial small subunit ribosomal RNA", at positions 353 to 511 of the family's 1533-position model. The record is from RNAcentral.